GCAGGCUGCAACUCGCCUGCAUGAAGUCGGAAUUGCUAGUAAUCGCGGAUCAGCAUGCCGCGGUGAAUACGUUCCCGGGCCUUGUACACACCGCCCGUCACACCAUGAGAGCCGGUAACACCCGAAGUCAGUAGUCUAACCGCAAGGGGGACGCUGCCGAAGGUGGGGCUGGUGAUUGGGGUGAAGUCGUAACAAGGUACC
RNAcentral lists this ribosomal RNA (201 nucleotides) under uncultured bacterium. RNAcentral describes it as "partial 16S ribosomal RNA". It matches the Rfam family "Bacterial small subunit ribosomal RNA", at positions 1300 to 1500 of the family's 1533-position model. The record is from RNAcentral.